RNAcentral lists this ribosomal RNA (465 nucleotides) under Vreelandella stevensii. Its description in RNAcentral is "partial 16S ribosomal RNA". It matches the Rfam family "Bacterial small subunit ribosomal RNA", at positions 338 to 795 of the family's 1533-position model. Lineage: Bacteria; Pseudomonadati; Pseudomonadota; Gammaproteobacteria; Oceanospirillales; Halomonadaceae. The record is from RNAcentral.
CCUACGGUGGGCAGCAGUGGGGAAUAUUGGACAAUGGGCGAAAGCCUGAUCCAGCCAUGCCGUGUGUGUGAAGAAGGCCUUCGGGUUGUAAAGCACUUUCAGUGGGGAAGAAAGCCUUGGGGCUAAUACCCUCGAGGAAGGACAUCACCCACAGAAGAAGCACCGGCUAACUCCGUGCCAGCAGCCGCGGUAAUACGGAGGGUGCGAGCGUUAAUCGGAAUUACUGGGCGUAAAGCGCGCGUAGGCGGUCUGAUAAGCCGGUUGUGAAAGCCCCGGGCUCAACCUGGGAACGGCAUCCGGAACUGUCAGGCUAGAGUGCAGGAGAGGAAGGUAGAAUUCCCGGUGUAGCGGUGAAAUGCGUAGAGAUCGGGAGGAAUACCAGUGGCGAAGGCGGCCUUCUGGACUGACACUGACGCUGAGGUGCGAAAGCGUGGGUAGCAAACAGGAUUAGAUACCCUGGUAGUC